ACGGAGGAUGCAAGCGUUAUCCGGAUUCAUUGGGUUUAAAGGGUGCGCAGGCGGAAUGAUAAGUCAGUGGUGAAAUCCUACGGCUCAACUGUAGAACUGCCAUUGAUACUGUUAUUCUUGAGUACACUUGAAGUGGGCGGAAUGUGUCAUGUAGCGGUGAAAUGCUUAGAUAUGACGCAGAACACCGAUCGCGAAGGCAGCUUACUGAAUUGUAACUGACACUCAUGCACGAAAGCGUGGGGAUCAAACAG
This 251-nucleotide ribosomal RNA is filed under the name uncultured prokaryote. RNAcentral describes it as "partial 16S rRNA". It matches the Rfam family "Bacterial small subunit ribosomal RNA", at positions 525 to 775 of the family's 1533-position model. The record is from RNAcentral.